This 157-nucleotide microRNA precursor is filed under the name Vitis vinifera (wine grape). RNAcentral's name for it is "mir-166 microRNA precursor family". It matches the Rfam family "mir-166 microRNA precursor family". From Rfam's summary of the family: This family represents the plant microRNA (miRNA) precursor mir-166. The record is from Rfam by way of RNAcentral. Lineage: Eukaryota; Viridiplantae; Streptophyta; Magnoliopsida; Vitales; Vitaceae.
GUUGAGAGGAAUGUUGUCUGGCUCGAGGUAUCAUUUAUUUUUCUUUUCUUUUCUUCGGGUUUUUGUUGGAUUGAAUUUAACCCCCAAAUGAAAGAAAGAAAGAAGAAGAAAUAUAAGGUGAUGAGUGAUUCUCGGACCAGGCUUCAUUCCCCUCAAC